Calidris pugnax (ruff) is the source of this 226-nucleotide long non-coding RNA. RefSeq lists it as uncharacterized. Lineage: Eukaryota; Metazoa; Chordata; Aves; Charadriiformes; Scolopacidae. The transcript has 3 exons. The record is from RefSeq and is a predicted model, not a curated record.
CGUCCGUCCGUCCGUCCGUCCUAUGUGAUCCGCCCCGGCGCCAAGAUGAAAGACGAUUUUGCAGAGGAGGAGGAGGUGCAGUCCUUUGGCUACAAAAGGUUUGGUAUUCAGGAGGGGACUCAAUGUACCAAAUGUAAAAAUAACUGGGCACUGAAGUUUUCCAUCAUCUUAUUAUAUGUUUUAUGUGCCCUGUUAACAAUCACAGUAGCCAUUCUGGGAUACAAAG